ACAUUCUCGGAAUACAUUACUGAAGAAUCGAAUACCAACACUUUUAUAAUACACACCUUUGUGUUAUUAAGAACGACAUACAAGUUUUCCUGUUCUUAGAUUCUACGGGAAAACCUCGUGUCGUGCCUUGUGACGCACGCAAGGUAGCCGAAUAUUCGCUCGACAAUGCAGACUUUGGUCGUUUCAAGUUCUUCUGAAUCCGGCAUGACGAUGACCAGAUCCUUAUGGUUUUUGUUGGAAUAUUUACUAAACAGCAACAUAUCUUUUUAUCUAAAAAAUUAAUGUACUGAGAAUAAAUGCACAACGUUAUAUCUGUCACUGCAGAAUAACGAAAGAGAAAGUUUUUGUUUAGGCUAUGGCCUACCCUCUGUUACGUUCCCGUUCUAAAUUUCCUUAUUUGGAGUCGGAUGUGCGCACCCGGUAUUCUUCGCGUAGGCAUAGGAAUUCGAGACCAACGCGAAGCUAGGGCGUAGUCCCUCGGAAAUCUCGGAAUCGUGCAAUGUACUUUCCCGCCACCCCUUGGCCUAUGAUUUUUGGGUAUAAAAAGGGUGACGACGAAGGCAUAUCGGGUCUAGACAAAGUCUAGAAAGGGUUCUGUACACGUCUGUGCGUGCUCUUACGAUAUUUCUACACGAGGAAACUUAGUGAGAUCGGUUCAAGUCCCCUUCGAGCAAAAUCUUAACCAUACAGUACGUAGUCUACUGUUAGGCAUUAUUUUGUCGUUGUAGUCGUCCCCCGUUUGCUCGCGUUCGUGAAAACCGAGAAGGAUUAGAUUCUAGCUUCGCGGAAUCGAAACUAUAUUUUAAACUCAGUUCAUAUUUGUAACAUAACUUACCAUUAGUACACCGCGACAAUUACCCUUAUAACAAUUGUAAGUCCCGGUGCAUAUCAGAAUAUAUGUAUAAUCAUUUUUAAUUAGUGUUGAUCAAUAAUACCAAGUCCAGUAUCCACUAAGGUGUACCUUUGCCGCUCGAGGUACAUCAAAAAACUGUUACGAGGCCUAAUACUAACAUUUCCUGCGGCUCCCCACGUUAGCCAUACGUGGGUUCGUCUCCGCGUCUACUUCCUCAAGGCAUCUAGUGCCACCCUAACAACACUGGUCAAGCCAUUAACAAAAAAACCAUAUUCCAAUAGAAAAGCCCCGGCUACGCAGCCGCCCCCUCCGGCUCGUAACACCUCUCAAGUUCCUAAAAGGACCCUUCCUGUAGGUUAUCUAGUUUACAAAAUAAAAAAAUAAAAUGUACAUUCAAUGCCACAAUUUUGUUCUUAUGUAUUUUGGCCUACUAAACUCGAAAAUCGCAAGACAAAUUUUUUCUAUGCAUAGGUUUUUUUUAUAUGAAUUUUUGAAUUUUUUUCGAUUUUUUUCUGACAUACCUUCACAUUUUAGACCAUAUCUCGAGUUAGAAAUGUCCGAUUGGGUCACGCUAGACGCCAUUUUAAAGGUAAUCGAAUUUCCAAUAAUUGUUUUUCACAAUAUUUUCCAAUCGGUUCAAUAGUCUAAGUGUUACGAGCCAGUAUUUAUGAGAAACUUUGAUUUUUUCGGCUAAAAUAGAACACGACUAUUUCCUCCAUCGCCAUGGAAAAAUAGAAUUGUCAAAUGAUGUCCAAUUUCUUAUUGUCUACGUAUAGAUCGCACUUUUAUGAAGAAAACAAGC
Molecule: long non-coding RNA, 1655 nt
Organism: Hylaeus volcanicus
Lineage: Eukaryota; Metazoa; Arthropoda; Insecta; Hymenoptera; Colletidae
Exons: 3
Source: RefSeq, a predicted model, not a curated record